UUCAGAGGAGAUGGGCCAAUAAAAAGUUGAAAGAUAAGAGCAUAGGCUUUAUAAAGAAAAAGGAAUGGAAUAAGAGAGUCAAAAGGAGAUAUGAGCCAUUAGAAAGGAUAAAAAACAUAGACUGUAUAUACUAUGGACAACUUGGUUCCGCCUUCCCCCAGUAUACGGAUUUGAAGCCGAAAAGCUCUCUGUAAUUCUGCGUUUUUUCUCUGUUUCCUGAAACCAACAUUGCGUAGUAGCGUUGUACGCAUUCGGCGGGAGAGUUGCUAAGAUUCGCUGUGAUGCAAUCGGCUCAAACAGCGUAUCCCACAGGUGAGCUACGCAAUCCUUAUACACCCAUAGGCUGUAUCAAUUGUCAAUCAUAGAAAACAUGAACUUCCUAAUAACUUUUAAAAAUGGAGCUGUACAGAAAAAAGAGGACUUGAGCACAAACCAGUCUUACAGUAACUACAUGUCAACAUCGCAACCAGGGGGGAGAAAAAUGUAUAUUCUGUGUAAUAAAGUUUGUCCACAGCUCAAUAGGGAUCGCUGGAGGAGGUGGGAUAUAUGACCUAUACUGCAGCCCGUCACCAGAGGGUGCUGCUCUCAGAGUGGCUUCACCCAACGAGGAGGCAGAUGGCAUCCAUUCUAUGUACAGUCUAUAGUAAAACCAUUUGAAAGAAUUAAAAGUUAAAGCAGCAAAAUUAAAGGUAAUAAAAGAAACUUAGAGCGUUAAAGUCAAAGGAAUCAAAAUCAAAGCAAUAAAAACAGAAAGUGAGGGAAAAUAUUUCAAAAAGGGAUUCCAAGAAUUUAAAAUUAGAUGAAAUAGAUCAGGGUCCUAAAAUCAGGAAGAUAAUGAGGUUUCAGUUAGUCAGCUAGUCAGUCAGUCAGUUAGUUAGCUGGCUAGUUAGAUCAUUAACUAGUAAAUGAGUUAGUUAGUUUUGGGUUUAACAUUUCUCAGUAUCUAAAGUGCCUUCCACACCUGACUGUUCCAAACUGCCUCUUUUUUUAGCGUGUCUACCUCUUCGUUUUGGAUUCAGGGUCAGCUCUCAUCACUUUUUUCUCUUUAGGAGUAGUCAGCGAACACACUGAUGAUCUUUUUCAUGUUUUUACCGUCUGUCAAAGGUGAUACAAACGAAACUCUAAAUGCUCCUGUCCACUUAAAUGACUAACAAAGCAGAGUUCUCCUUCUUAUGAAUAAAUGCCUGUGAAGCCUCCAUCCAACAACAACAGCCCUGACCGGCCCUGACCUUACCGAUCCUCCUGAAAAUUUCAGGCCCUUUAAGAUUUACAAAGGAGAUGCUUACACAGAGUCUGAUAUGUGUCAGAUGGAUUCAUGGCUGUAACGUUCAUUCACUUUUAUCACACCAUCCUCUUGUCAUCGUAUGAGGACCUGUUUGAAAGCUGUCCUUGAUGGUGCAUUCAUGGACACACUGACAUCUAUCCUGAAUCACCUCCAGCAGUGCAUGACGUUGCUCUGCUGCAAUGUCAGAUGACUUACCUGGAAAGAUCUUCCUCAUGUCCUUAAUUGUUCCCUGCUUGUGUAUGUGGGUAAAAUAAAACAUAUUAAAUAGACAUGACUUUGUAUUGGAAGUCACUGCAUCACUUCCAAAUCCUUUGUUCCUAAGCGUACAAUCAUGGAAAAGAGGAAACCAUUCAUAGACAUGAUCCAGAAAUGCCUGUGAUUUGCCUGAGCUUGAGCACAUUUAAGAUGAACUGAGCUGAAGUGAAAAACUAUCCAGCGGUCUAUGAAAUCCAGAUUUGACCGUCUAUUUGGAAAUCUUGGAUGCCCAGUUCUCAACUGUCUGCAGUCCUGAAUUGACACCCAUUGCAAAAGUGACAGAUACAGAAAUGUUGACUGCUGGACCCACAUUUUAUUUCAAACUCCAGAUACUGGUACUUUCCUUGGCCCCCAAAUUUCACAGAGUUCGGUUUUAAUAAGAGUUGAUGUGCGUUUUCUGAACAUGUUACUGGAACUACAUCUGAAAUGAGCAUAUAUAUUUUUAAGACAAUAAGAGUUAAGUUUUAACCUGUCUUUGCACUGUUUCUCUAGGUUUCUACAGUGUAUGAUUUCUGUCUAAAGAUGCAGAAAUCUAAAUAAAACCAGGGACAAAUUCAAAAAGCAGGACACCAAGCUGCCCUCAAUAAGAGGAUCUAUGAAUUCUGAGUGCAUGUAGCCUUUAAUUAUCGGUUCAAACUGGGUCUGCGUGGAAAUAAGGCCAGGAGUCAAGUUGCCAAUUUGCAAUUAUAAUAAUCCUCCAAGCCCCUUAAAAUGUAGAUUACAUAUAUUUUCCAUGCUGCUGUGUCCUCGUGUGAUAUUCGCCCUAAUUCGGCAUGAAAACAGAUUAAUGGCAGAGCUGCAGAUGUGCUCGUGUUGGAGGCGUGAAGAGCUCUGGGUGUUGAAAAUGUGCUGCAUCUGUUUAAAAUGUUAGCGUCCUAAAUCAUUUAGAUCACAACAUGUAAGACCACAAAUUAACACGGAGUCCCUGCUGUUACAAAGCUCCUGUAAGCACAGGACUAAUUCAAGAGCAGAUGCUUUAAUACGGGAAGAACUGAAAGUGGGAAGCUGCAACAUCUGUCCAGCUCUGACUGGAACCAGAGUCAUGUUUUCGUCGUCCAUGUUUGCUGUUAUUUCUCUUUAACUGCAAGAAAACCUGGAUUAAUGCAUCCAGUUCACCUUUUCUAACACUGACUUCAAUGGAAAUACAGAUUUAUGUAAGUUAUUACAAACAAACAGGCUCAGUUUGAACCCGAGGGGGAAGAGAAAUAUUCACUUUUAUAUUAAAAUGUCCCGCAAGUAGGCUGAUAGGAACCUGUUGCCAUGGUAACAUCACUAUUAGUGGAAUCAGGGGGAGUUUUUUAUUGUAACUACAUAAAUAAUCAUUUUGAAAUCAAUAAAAUCAACUCAGAAUUUAUAAUCUGGGUUAGCUUGUUUAUAGCUUUAGUUACGGGUGUAAACAGAGAGCAGGUCGGGGUUUCUGCUCACCCUGUCAGGAAUCUGAUUCACAUAAACACCUGUCAAAACAUAUUCGUCCUUCAGCUACAUUUUCAAAAUAUUAACUUUUGUUAUUUAUUCAAGGAAAAUAAGUCCAUGGUAAGUGUGAAUAUUCAAUAAAAAAUAAUUUUAUGAAUUUACACUUGUCCAUUCAGCGUUGGUACAAAUCAUUAGUGGUGCAACGAUAUUCAUGAUCGUGCAAAUUUUCAGUAGCAGAGCACGUAAUUCGCUGCUGAAUGAAUGUAGGGGAAACACUGCCACUAUUAUUCCUAAUCAGUCAAUGCACUGUCUAACUCAACACAUCAGCAGUUCAAGUAGGAAAUAAAGAAAAAGCUGUAUUUAUUAGUUAGUCUAUAUUUUAAAGCUUUUAUUUUGAAACUCAACAAUAAUGGCAAAAUGUUAAUUAAUUUUUCCCUAGAUCUGACUCCCAAACAGAAUAAGUCACAUGACCAUCAUGAUACAGACGGACAGACUUUUAUUCCUUAGCUGCAGUUCUCCCUGACAGUCAAGCUAGUUCGACUGAUGGAUCUGCUCUUAGGGAGGAAUGAAAGAAAAAUUCAAGUUUGCAUAGUUUAUUUUAACAUCUACCCGAAGCACACACAGUGCCGCAUUUUUAUUAUAAAGAACACUCAGUGAUUUUUGUCGAAGACAGUUCAGCUGUCAAAUAUAAAAUGCUCUCAAACUGAGGCUGCAGGUUGAGGAAAAGUGUAAUGUUAUUGUAUUGUACAGUUAAAAUACACCUUACGUCGCUCCCCUCCCCCCAGCCGAGUGUUUCUGCUAAUGUCAAACUGACGGGCUGCAAACCUCCCACAGUGCUCUUCGUAUUGACAGAUUUAUGACCCUGAUUAUUCAGCCACUUUUAGUAAUGCUUCGUCCUUGUUGCUGUUGUUACUCUGAACUAUUCACAGCUGUCCUUGGCGGUGCAUUCAAGGACACACUGUCAUUAUAUUCCUGUCCCCUGCAGCAGCAUAAUGCAAUCAUUGGCUGUAGAGUAAGAAAAUCAAAACAUGAAUAGACAGACAAAAAUAAAAAUCCAGAUGCCGUGAGGAGAGCUCCAUAAACUGGCUGUUUAGCAGCUGUCAAAUCUGAUCUCUUUAUUCUGAAGAUGCUGACCGAGAGAGUUUUUUGGAACAAACAUCUUUGAAAACAUUGAACCAUUAUCAUGCAAUAAUAUCACGCAUAAUGUGUAGCAUAUCUAAGGCACUUUGACACUGCUGUAAUACUCUAAGAUGCUUCAGCCUGAGCCAUUGUUGAGGUUUAGUCUGGGAAAUCCCUUUUAUAUGAUUACAUUUGGCCUCUGAGAGUCUGUGAUUAGACCCACAACCCAAACGGGAGUCUGCUAUCAAGAAAUAAAAGACUGUUGCUAUGGGCUGCUUAACAACAACCAAUCAGAUUCAAGUGUUUAUCACAGCUGUGUGAUGAAUACAUAAAUGCAUGUGCUGUUGUGGCCUCUAUUGUUCGAAUAUCUACCACCUGAUACAAAGCAUUAACCAUGGGUUGAUUGUGCAGCUAAUCAGGGAAUUGUCAACAUGCAUGCAUUAUCGGAAGUUUACGUAAAGUUUUAGAUUAAGCGCCAUCACACCAAAGAAGAUAGUCGUCUAUGGUUACGCUUCUGUGUUUCGACUUUCAUGAUGGACUAAUGCUGCAUUCGAGUUACCUUGGAGGUCAAAUGUCCGAGCUGGGAAUGAUGUCACACCCGAGUAACCAGCGUUUCAGUUACCAAGUCGGAAAAAAGCAAAAUCGGAGGCAGAAACUAGAUGGCUACAUCUACGAAAGGGGAUGCUAAAAUAACUUAAAAUAACAAAAAUAACAAGCGCUAAAAUAACUUUCGUAGAUGUAGCCAUCUCACUUCCGCCUCCGAUUUUUCUUUUUUCCGACUUGGUAACUGAAACUCUGGUAUCUCGGGUGUGAUGUCAUUCCCAGCUCGGGCAUCUGACUUCCAAGGUAACUCGAACCCAGCAUAAGGCCAGGAACUCUAGGCUGCUCCAGUAACUCUACCGCCAAGCCACUUGGGAAAUGUAGUUAAUGUUGCUACCUGUAAUGCCCAUCACCGCUCAAAUCAGUCCCCACUCUACCACGUCUGCUCUGCCUCCACGCUGCCUCUGCACCUCCAGUUUGCAUCAAACUUUGAGGAUGUGCAAAGAUGAAACAACAAAUAAACGCUGCAGCCACCAUGCGUUCGCUCAAAGUCUUGACAUUGUGAUUAUUGAACUUGUUGUUGC
Xyrichtys novacula (pearly razorfish) is the source of this 5196-nucleotide non-coding RNA. NCBI's taxonomy places the organism in Eukaryota, Metazoa, Chordata, Actinopteri, Labriformes, Labridae. The record is from the annotation of a GenBank genome assembly.